UACGAAGGGGGCUAGCGUUGCUCGGAAUUACUGGGCGUAAAGGGCGCGUAGGCGGCACUGUUAGUCAGGCGUGAAAGUCCUGGGCUCAACCUGGGAACUGCGCUUGAUACGGCAGAGCUAGAGGAUGGAAGAGGCUCGCGGAAUUCCCAGUGUAGAGGUGAAAUUCGUAGAUAUUGGGGAAGAACACCGGUGGCGAAGGCGGGCGAGCUGGUCCAUUACUGACGCUGAGGCGCGACAGCGUGGGGGAGCAAACAGG
RNAcentral lists this ribosomal RNA (256 nucleotides) under uncultured bacterium. RNAcentral describes it as "partial 16S ribosomal RNA". It matches the Rfam family "Bacterial small subunit ribosomal RNA", at positions 524 to 776 of the family's 1533-position model. The record is from RNAcentral.